AUGAAUGCUGGCGGUGUGCCUAAUACAUGCAAGUCGAGCGGAAAGGCCCCUUCGGGGGUACUCGAGCGGCGGACGGCUGAGUAACGCGUAGGAAUGUACCCCAAACUGAGGGAUAAUUCACCGAAAGGUGGACUAAUACCGCAUGUGCUCUUCGGAGUAAAGCUUCGGCGGUUUGGGAACAGCCUGCGUCCGAUUAGGUAGUUGGUGAGGUAAUAGCUCACCAAGCCUACGAUCGGUAGCUGGUCUGAGAGGAUGAUCAGCCAGACUGGGACUGAGACACGGCCCAGACUCCUACGGGAGGCAGCAGUAGGGAAUUUUCCACAAUGGGCGAAAGCCUGAUGGGAGCAACACCGCGUGCAGGG
This 362-nucleotide ribosomal RNA is filed under the name uncultured Saccharimonas sp. (SeqCode). Its description in RNAcentral is "bacterial SSU rRNA". It matches the Rfam family "Bacterial small subunit ribosomal RNA", at positions 29 to 408 of the family's 1533-position model. The record is from RNAcentral. Lineage: Bacteria; Candidatus Saccharimonadota; Candidatus Saccharimonadia; Saccharimonadales (SeqCode); Saccharimonadaceae (SeqCode).